RNAcentral lists this ribosomal RNA (254 nucleotides) under uncultured bacterium. RNAcentral's name for it is "partial 16S ribosomal RNA". It matches the Rfam family "Bacterial small subunit ribosomal RNA", at positions 524 to 776 of the family's 1533-position model. The record is from RNAcentral.
GACAGAGGUGCCGAGCGUUAGGCGGAAUCACUGGGCUUAAAGCGUGUGUAGGCGGCCCGUUAAGUGUCCGUGUGAAAUCCCCCGGCUCAACCGGGGAACCGCCGGGCAUACUGGCGGGCUUGGGCCACUCAGGGGCAGACGGAACAGGCGGUGGAGCGGUGAAAUGCGUAGAUAUCGCCUGGAACGCCGAAGGUGAAAACAGUCUGCUGGGGGUGUGCCGACGCUGAGACACGAAAGCCAGGGGAGCGAACGGG